AAUGAACGCUGGCGGCGUACUUUACACAUGCAAGUCGAGCGAGGCGGCCCGCAAGGGCCAGUCGAGCGGCGAACGGGUGAGUAACGCGUGGAUUAUCUGCCCUGAGGUGGGGGAUAACCCGGGGAAACUCGGGCUAAUACCGCAUAUGACCGAGAGGUCAAAGGGGGGUCGCAAGAUCUCCCGCCAUAGGAGGAGUCCGCGUUCGAUUAGCUAGUUGGUAGGGUAAUGGCCUACCAAGGCGACGAUCGAUAGCCGGCCUGNGAGGGUGAUCGGCCACACUGGAACUGAGACACGGUCCAGACU
Molecule: ribosomal RNA, 303 nt
Filed under: uncultured bacterium
Lineage: Bacteria
Description: bacterial SSU rRNA
Rfam family: Bacterial small subunit ribosomal RNA
Source: RNAcentral